UCUCUCUGUGUUGUCCAGUUUGGUCUCGAAUUCCUGGCCUCCCAAAGUACUGAGAUUCCAGGCAUGAGCUUCCUCACCCGGCCGCAUUAUUAUUAUUAAUGAGAUUCUCCUCUAAUCUUACUUCUGUUUCUCUGUUAUCUGAGAAAAAUCAGUGGCUGCUCUGGGGGGACAUCAAAACAUCCGCUGGGGAGUAGGAAGAAGAAGGGAGAGAAGAGAAGCACAAGGCAACAAAUCAAGGAAGAAGCCAACUAACCUCUCUUUCUCACUGUAGGCUUCCAGCCUGAAGAGAACCAAGGUGGGAGAGAAGAUUCACUGCUAAGUCAAGCCCAGAGUUAUUAUUAUUAUACAGAAUUGGACAUUCUAGUUUCUAAAUAAAGACUGUUUUUCAUCCA
This is a long non-coding RNA of Lemur catta (Ring-tailed lemur), 392 nucleotides long. RefSeq lists it as uncharacterized. The record is from RefSeq and is a predicted model, not a curated record. NCBI's taxonomy places the organism in Eukaryota, Metazoa, Chordata, Mammalia, Primates, Lemuridae. The transcript has 2 exons.